Molecule: long non-coding RNA, 214 nt
Filed under: Elaeis guineensis (African oil palm)
Lineage: Eukaryota; Viridiplantae; Streptophyta; Magnoliopsida; Arecales; Arecaceae
Description: long non-coding RNA (EGUI_LNC069538)
Source: RNAcentral
GUGGGCCCACCACUCUUCGACAAGUCGCAACAACGGACACCACUACUCUUUGUAACAAACUCCAUGUGGGCCCACCACUCUCUGGCAAGUCGCGACAACGGAUACCACUACUCUCCGUAACAAACUCUACGUGGCUCCGAAUGGCCCACUAUCAGGCAGUUACGGACGUCGCUGUCUAUCGGUUACGCUCUCCCAUCUAUAAAAGAGACCCCCC